CUCCGGAUCCAGUGCCAGGCGCAGCCUCUCUGCGCACGGCCCGCUGCAGCCAUCUUGAAUCUUGAGGGCAGUCUUCUGCUUCUGCCUGGAGGCUGAGGUGUCAGUGUGGCCAUUUUGCGCCAGGAACUGUUGUCUGAGCUGCUGAGUGAGGCUUCUGCCUGUGACCCCCUGUGAACAGGUAACACCAGACUGAGCACAAAGGAAGAAAACAAAGGUCACAUGGAGAAAACUUGGAGAAAGCGCUCCAACAUGGAGAUGUCAACUUGAGUGACAGCCCCGUGCGAGGUGCUUGCACCGGCUUGCCUCCUUCACACGCAUCACUUCACAGAAAUGAUGACUGCCAUUUGAACAGAAAGACAUCCUUCCCGACCGGGGUCAGGAAACUGACAGGGCCCACCCGUUAAUAGAAAAAACUGUCAUUUUAAAUAAAAUGCUUGGUGGAAAACUUCAGAAAUCUAUUAGAUAACAGGGGGCCCGUGGUCGGGGCACCCAUGAAUCAUGGGC
RNAcentral lists this long non-coding RNA (504 nucleotides) under Capra hircus (goat). RNAcentral describes it as "lncRNA (ENSCHIG00000005008.1)". Lineage: Eukaryota; Metazoa; Chordata; Mammalia; Artiodactyla; Bovidae. The record is from RNAcentral.